Long non-coding RNA from Zea mays, 1174 nucleotides. RefSeq lists it as uncharacterized. The record is from RefSeq and is a predicted model, not a curated record. Lineage: Eukaryota; Viridiplantae; Streptophyta; Magnoliopsida; Poales; Poaceae. The transcript has 3 exons.
AUUGAAAUCCGACCCCUCGCCUUGCGGGGGAGCGGCUUCCUUUUACCGUUUUAUUUUUUGGUUGCUUGGUUGUUAAGUUAAGAAUCCUAACCGAUCGCUACAAUGAUCUAAAUUGAACGCGAGAUUUUCGCAUGCAGAUCGGAUCACGGAUAGCUAUCGGUUCGCGGACUCAGCCCUAUAUAAGGCGUCUGGCAGCCAGCAUCAAACUCAUCCCAAUUUUCGCUUCUGCUCACAAUUGUGCCGCCAUCUUCAUCCCGACCGCCGACGUGCAUAUGAGAUCGGGAGAGCAGGUCUCCGGAACCCUUCGCCUUCGAGAUCCUGCACCGGGAGAGGGCGAAUAAGGUUUUUGGAAAGCGUCCUCACGCGACUGCUCGCGAUCUUGUCGUCGAACCCUGCAGCUUCGACGCCAUCGGCCCCGCUGCUUCGACGUCGUCGACCCUGCUGAUUUCGGUCCGCGUCAUCUAUCAGCACUUGGUUUUCUCCCACGUUCUUUGCGAAGCUAACGAGGCGCGCGGCGACAAGGACUUCUCCGAUGUAGGCAAGGCUGAGUGCAAGGGCAGUGCUCCAGGACGAAGGGGGUGUGGGUGGUGUCACUGCUGUGAAGUCCGUAGCGGAGCGCGGAGCUAGCGUUGGCCACCAUCGUCGCCUUGUGUUGUAGGUUCAUUCACAGCCGCAGAAGAAGCCUCGCUUCGUGGAAAGGCAACCUUCGACUGCCCGAUGAAGACCUAUGGCUUCCUCAUGCCUGAAUUCUGGAGCCAUACUAAGUUUUCCAUGACUCCGUUCCAGCAAUACACGGACCUGGUAGUGAAGGCUACCAAGGGUCUUGUGCUUUAGGCCUGAACUAAGACAGUAGAGCCUUAUGAUGGGUUGAUGUGUCUAAAUGCACUUUCUUAUAUUUAAGAACUGUGGGAGUCAACUUUGGACCCUGUUUGCUGGUCGCUUCGAUGAUUUUGCCUUUUGGUAAGCAACAUCCACUAGAGAAUGACCUUUUUUGGUUUCUUCCCUCUAUCUCUUUCCUACAAGAGAAUCUUCUAUGCUUAGAACUGAAUGCAGUGAUCAAUACAUGUAUUUGUUUCGAAGCUUGUAUUUCCUUCACUAUGUAGGGGCUUAUACACCAAGUGUACACACCUAUUUAUAUAUUGGUUCAUGGAUCAUAUGUGAUUCAUGAUAUAAC